GGAGAUGCUCUGAAGUGAUCCUCCCGCUCAGCUCUCACGGAAACCAGGCACCAACACCAGAACCGCGCCGAGGCUGUCCUGCAAGCGUUAGUGGUAUCGCCUCACGGCUGGGGCUGGAGCCUCCUUCCGAGACCAUGCCACACCAGCAAUUCUAGAGAACAACUGGAAGCACUGUGUCACCCCAGACCACAGGCGAAGCAGGGCUCCCCUUCUAGGGUUUAGUGGGCGCAAACAUCUCCCUCAGCACCUGAGCAGUCCUGGAAAGGCUGUGAAGGG
Molecule: long non-coding RNA, 276 nt
Organism: Oxyura jamaicensis (ruddy duck)
Lineage: Eukaryota; Metazoa; Chordata; Aves; Anseriformes; Anatidae
Exons: 2
Source: RefSeq, a predicted model, not a curated record